GACGAACGCUGGCGGCGUGCCUAAUACAUGCAAGUCGAACGCAUUUUCUUUCACCGUAGCUUGCUACACCGAAAGAAAAUGAGUGGCGAACGGGUGAGUAACACGUGGGUAACCUGCCCAUCAGCGGGGGAUAACACUUGGAAACAGGUGCUAAUACCGCAUAAUUCCAUUUACCGCAUGGUAAAUGGAUGAAAGGCGCUUUUGCGUCACUGAUGGAUGGACCCGCGGUGCAUUAGCUAGUUGGUGAGGUAACGGCCUACCAAGGCUGCGAUGCAUAGCCGACCUGAGAGGGUGAUCGGCCACACUGGGACUGAGACACGGCCCAGACUCCUACGGGAGGCAGCAGUAGGGAAUCUUCGGCAAUGGACGCAAGUCUGACCGAGCAACGCCGCGUGAGUGAAGAAGGUUUUCGGAUUGUAAAACUCUGUUGUUAGAGAAGAACAAGGAUGAGAGUGGAAAGUUCAUCCCUUGACGGUAUCUAACCAGAAAGCCACGGCUAACUACGUG
Molecule: ribosomal RNA, 507 nt
Filed under: uncultured bacterium
Lineage: Bacteria
Description: partial 16S ribosomal RNA
Rfam family: Bacterial small subunit ribosomal RNA
Source: RNAcentral